CGCAAGCCUGACGGAGCAAGACCGCGUGCGGGAGGACGGCCUAAUGGUUGUAAACCGCUUUUCUCUGGGAAGAUGAUGACGGUACCAGAGGAAUCAGCCUCGGCUAACUCCGUGCCAGCAGCCGCGGUAAUACGGAGGAGGCAAGCGUUAUCCGGAAUUAUUGGGCGUAAAGCGUCCGUAGGUGGUUAUUCAAGUCUGCUGUCAAAGCGUGGGGCUUAACUCCAUAGAGGCAGUGGAAACUGGAUGACUUGAGUGCGGUAGGGGUCGGGGGAAUUCCCAGUGUAGCGGUGAAAUGCGUAGAUAUUGGGAAGAACACCAGUGGCGAAGGCGCUCUACUGGGCCGCAACUGACGCUGAGGGACGAAAGCUAAGGGAGCG
Molecule: ribosomal RNA, 377 nt
Filed under: uncultured cyanobacterium
Lineage: Bacteria; Bacillati; Cyanobacteriota
Description: bacterial SSU rRNA
Rfam family: Bacterial small subunit ribosomal RNA
Source: RNAcentral